ACUCUGCCAACAACACAGAGAUACGAAGAUUCUAGCCACACACACCCAGUUCCCCCAAACUGCACAGCAGAACUCCCAAGCCAGGAUAUCUGGUCUUAAGGAACCCAGGAUUCUUCAUAGACAGUCAGGGAAGACCCAGGGCCAGCAGCCAGGAAACCCCUUUCUGUUCCCAGAGCACCUGGUCCUUGAUAGGCCAGCUUCACCCACUCUUACACCCAAUGCCCUGGCAUCGGAAUCCCUAUGUCCAGCAUCUGCAUUGCCCCUCUAUGUUCUGAAAAUGGCCUCGCCAUUCCCUUCAGAGCAUUCCUGGACAUGUCUUUGAAUGUCCAUAUUGUAUACACAUGUGUGUAGAGGUUGGGGGACAAUACUGACUGUCAUCCUGAAGAAUGCCAUCCUGCUUUAAAAUAAAGUCUUUCAUUGGCCUGGAGCUCACCAGUUAAACUAGACUGACUGGUUAGAGAGACUCAGAGAGCUUUCUGUCUCUACCUCCCCAAUACUGGGGUGGCAAGCAACCACCGCCAUGUCUGGUAUUUUAAUAGCUUUAGUAAUUAAACCUAGACCCUUCUGUUGGCAAGGCAAGCAUUUUAUAUAUUUAUUCAUUUAUUAUUUAUUUAAUUGGCGGGAAGAGGGGCAUGUGUGCAUGCUUCUGACUAAACUAUACCCCAGUCCCUCUUACAGUACCUUCUAAGCCAUUCUGAAACAGCCUCACCAUCCCCUCUCAUCCAUUCUGGGAUGGAUUUGCAGUCCCUUCCACACAUUCUACAACA
Molecule: long non-coding RNA, 767 nt
Filed under: Rattus norvegicus (Norway rat)
Lineage: Eukaryota; Metazoa; Chordata; Mammalia; Rodentia; Muridae
Description: long non-coding RNA NONRATT001377
Source: RNAcentral